This 465-nucleotide ribosomal RNA is filed under the name uncultured bacterium. RNAcentral describes it as "partial 16S ribosomal RNA". It matches the Rfam family "Bacterial small subunit ribosomal RNA", at positions 28 to 507 of the family's 1533-position model. The record is from RNAcentral.
GACGAACGCUGGCGGCGUGCUUAACACAUGCAAGUCGAACGGAAAGGCCCCUUUGGGGGUACUCGAGUGGCGAACGGGUGAGUAACACGUGAGUAACCUGCCCUUGACUUCGGGAUAACUUCAGGAAACUGGGGCUAAUACUGGCUAGGAAUCCUUGCUGCAUGGUGGGGGUUGGAAAGCUUCGGCGGUUUUGGAUGGACUCGCGGCUUAUCAGCUUGUUGGUGGGGGAGUGGCUUACCAAGGCUUUGACGGGUAGCCGGCCUGAGAGGGCGACCGGCCACAUUGGGACUGAGAUACGGCCCAGACUCCUACGGGAGGCAGCAGUGGGGAAGAUUGCACAAUGGGCGGAAGCCUGAUGCAGCAACGCCGCGGGCGGGAUGACGGCCUUCGGGUUGUAGACCGCUUUCAGCAGGGGCGAAGCUUGUGGUGACGGUACCUGCAGAAGAAGCACCGGCUAACUACGUG